This 445-nucleotide RNase P RNA is filed under the name Verrucomicrobiales bacterium. Its description in RNAcentral is "RNase P RNA component class A". It matches the Rfam family "Bacterial RNase P class A". From Rfam's summary of the family: Ribonuclease P (RNase P) is a ubiquitous endoribonuclease, found in archaea, bacteria and eukarya as well as chloroplasts and mitochondria. Its best characterised activity is the generation of mature 5'-ends of tRNAs by cleaving the 5'-leader elements of precursor-tRNAs. Cellular RNase Ps are ribonucleoproteins. Lineage: Bacteria; Pseudomonadati; Verrucomicrobiota; Verrucomicrobiia; Verrucomicrobiales. The record is from RNAcentral. RNAcentral also lists the same sequence under 2 other names.
GAACAAACCUGAGACGAUCGCUGUCUCCCUUGGGCCCGCCCAAGCGGGGGCAGAGGAAAGUCCGGACACCACAAGGCAGCAUGCCCCGGAGAAUCCGGGGGAAGCGGGAGGUGCAAACCCCCGUUGACGGACAGUGUCACAGAAAACAAACCACCUUCAGGCCUCCGGGUCCGGAGGAACGGGUGAAAAGGCGGGGUAAAAGCCCACCGCCCUGAGGGCAACCAAGGGGGCACGAAAAACCCCAUGCGGUGCAAGACAAAACAGGGCAAACGGGCCGCCUGUCCGGAUUUCCCGCCUCGGCGGGAGGAUGCGCCCGGGUAACAGUCGCACCCCGCUCCGGCGGGGAGUUCCGGCGGCACGAGUCGCCGGGCUAGAUAAAUGAUCGUCGGCGGCGGGCCGAAAGACCCGCAGUCAACAGAAUCCGGCUUACGGGGUUUGUUCGACU